RNAcentral lists this ribosomal RNA (403 nucleotides) under uncultured bacterium. RNAcentral's name for it is "bacterial SSU rRNA". It matches the Rfam family "Bacterial small subunit ribosomal RNA", at positions 355 to 774 of the family's 1533-position model. The record is from RNAcentral.
UGGGGAAUUUUACACAAUGGGGGAAACCCUGAUGUAGCAACGCCGCGUGGAGGAUGACGGAUUUAGGUCUGUAAACUCCUUUUAUAAGGGAAGAAAUUUGACGGUACCUUAUGAAUAAGCACCGGCUAACUCCGUGCCAGCAGCCGCGGUAAUACGGGGGGUGCAAGCGUUACUCGGAAUCACUGGGCGUAAAGGGAGCGUAGGCGUUUUAUUAAGCCUUGAGUGAAAGCUCGCAGCUCAACUGCGGAACUGCUCAGGAAACUGAUAGAAGUGAGUAUGGAAGAGGUAGGUGGAAUUUCCGGUGUAGGGGUAAAAUCCGUAGAUAUCGGAAGGAAUACCAGAAGCGAAGGCGACCUACUGGGACAUUACUGACGCUGAGGCUCGAAAGCGUGGGGAGCAAACA